RNAcentral lists this unclassified non-coding RNA (334 nucleotides) under soil metagenome. RNAcentral's name for it is "partial contains 5.8S ribosomal RNA, internal transcribed spacer 2, and large subunit ribosomal RNA". The stretch from base 1 to 120 matches the Rfam family "5.8S ribosomal RNA", at positions 35 to 154 of the family's 154-position model. The record is from RNAcentral.
GAUGAAGAACGCAGCGAAAUGCGAUAAGUAAUGUGAAUUGCAGAAUUCAGUGAAUCAUCGAAUCUUUGAACGCACAUUGCGCCCGCCAGUAUUCUGGCGGGCAUGUCUGUUCGAGCGUCAUUUCAACCAUCAAGCCCUGCUUGCGUUGGGGUCCUGCGGCUGCCCGCAGGCCCUGAAAACCAGUGGCGGGCUCGCUAGUCACACCGAGCGCAGUAAUACAUCUCGCUUUGGGCGUGCGGCGGGUUCUUGCCGUUAAACACCCCCUUUUUACCAAGGUUGACCUCGGAUCAGGUAGGAAUACCCGCUGAACUUAAGCAUAUCAAUAAGCGGAGGA